AACGUAGGAGACGAACGUUAUCCGGAGUUACUGGGCGUAAAGGGCGUGCAGGCGGCCUGAUAAGUUCGGCGUGAAAUUUCCCGGCUUAACCGGGGGAUGUCGUCGGAGACUGUCGGGCUAGAGGGUGAUAGAGGCGUGUGGAAUUCCGGGUGUAGUGGUGAAAUGCGUAGAGAUCCGGAGGAACACCAGUGGCGAAGGCGACACGCUGGGUCAUACCUGACGCUGAUGCGCGAAAGCUAGGGGAGCAAACAGG
RNAcentral lists this ribosomal RNA (253 nucleotides) under uncultured prokaryote. RNAcentral's name for it is "partial 16S ribosomal RNA". It matches the Rfam family "Bacterial small subunit ribosomal RNA", at positions 524 to 776 of the family's 1533-position model. The record is from RNAcentral.